Molecule: long non-coding RNA, 504 nt
Organism: Triplophysa dalaica
Lineage: Eukaryota; Metazoa; Chordata; Actinopteri; Cypriniformes; Nemacheilidae
Exons: 2
Source: RefSeq, a predicted model, not a curated record
GUCAACGGAGAAGACGGCUCAAUGGGUCUGCUAGAGCGGCCAUGUCCCAUAUGGUGUACUCCGGUCUUGUGGACCUCCUCAGAGUCCACACUUGGUGACGUCAGAAAGUGCAGAACUACAGGACACUAGUCCAAAAGGAUGGUGGGCUCUCCCUCUUCCUCGUGGAUAUUUGCUGGUGGCUUUUGGUCGGGGUCACUGUGUGCAGCUAUGACACGUCAGAGGAGGUCUGGCCCUCCCGGCUGAUCCUGGUUUCUCCCGAGGUUUUUUUCCGCAUUAAUCAAUCAUUGGAGUUUGGGUUCCUCGUCACAGCAGGGCAGUGUUGGCUUGCUCACCGGGAGACUGCAUUUAUUUAUUAGAUAUUAUUUAUUAGAAUGAUCUUGCUUGUUCUAUAAACACCUUGUGCUGUGUUUUACCUUUUCUGUUUUUCCUGUUUGCCACUGUAAAGCUGCUUUGGAACAAUGCACAUUGUGAAAAGCGUUAUAUAAAUAAACUUGAAUUGAAUUA